GCUCCGUAGGUGAACCUGCGGAGGGAUCAUUACAGAGUUCAUGCCCUACCGGGUAGAUCUCCCACCCUAUGUUAUUAUUACUUUGUUGCUUUGGCGGGCCGUCAGGCUCCGGCCCGACUACCGGCCCCGGCUGGUAAGCGCCCGCCAGAGGACCCAAAACCCUGAAUAUUAGUGUCGUCUGAGUACUAUAUAAUAGUUAAAACUUUCAACAACGGAUCUCUUGGUUCU
RNAcentral lists this unclassified non-coding RNA (228 nucleotides) under plant metagenome. RNAcentral's name for it is "partial contains small subunit ribosomal RNA, internal transcribed spacer 1, and 5.8S ribosomal RNA". The record is from RNAcentral.